AAGGAUCAUUAUUGAAUAAACAUAGUGAGGUUGUAGCUGGCUUUUUGGAGCAUGUGCACGCCUUGCUGUCUUUAUAAAUCCACCUGUGCACAUUCUGUAGUCUCGGGAGAUUAGCGUCGCUGACUGUUGAUGACGGGCUUUUGGCCCUUCGGAUGUUGAGGACUGCAACGCCAACAAGCGUGGGCUUUCCUUACAGGUCUGCAGGCAUCUCUCUCGGUGCUAUGUCUUUAUCACAAACAAUUGUAUGUUGUAGAAUGUAUUAAUGGGUCUUUGUGCCUAUAAACAACAAUACAACUUUCAGCAACGGAUCUCUUGGCUCUC
RNAcentral lists this unclassified non-coding RNA (321 nucleotides) under uncultured fungus. RNAcentral's name for it is "partial contains 18S rRNA, ITS1, 5.8S rRNA, ITS2 and 28S rRNA". The record is from RNAcentral. Lineage: Eukaryota; Fungi.